AUUGAACGCUGGCGGCAGGCCUAACACAUGCAAGUCGAACGAGUGGCGGACGGGUGAGUAAUGUAUCGGAAACUGCGUGAUGGAGGGCGAUCACUACUGGAAACGGUAGCUAAUACCGCAUACCAUCAGAUGGGCCCAGAUGGGAUUAGCUAGUUGGUGGGGUAACGGCUCACCAAGGCGAGUAGCCCUAGCUGGUCUGAGAGGAUGACCAGGCACACUGGAACUGAGACACGGUCCAGACUCCUACGGGAGGCAGCAGUGGGGAAUAUUGGACAAUGGGCGCAAUCCUGAUGCAGCCAUGCCGCGUGUAUGAAGAAGGCCUUCGGGUUGUAAAGUACUUUCAGCGGGGAGGCGUUACCCGCAGAAGAAGCACCGGCUAACUCCGUGCCAGCCGCCGCGGUAAUUC
RNAcentral lists this ribosomal RNA (406 nucleotides) under uncultured bacterium. Its description in RNAcentral is "partial 16S ribosomal RNA". It matches the Rfam family "Bacterial small subunit ribosomal RNA", at positions 30 to 526 of the family's 1533-position model. The record is from RNAcentral.